Molecule: ribosomal RNA, 371 nt
Filed under: uncultured organism
Description: bacterial SSU rRNA
Rfam family: Bacterial small subunit ribosomal RNA
Source: RNAcentral
GGGGGGGGCAAGCGUUGUUCGGAAUUACUGGGCGUAAAGGGCUCGUAGGCGGCCAACUAAGUCGGAUGUGAAAUCCCCAGGCUCAACUUGGGAACUGCAUCCGAUACUGGAUGGCUUGAAUCCGGGAGAGGGAUGCAGAAUUCCAGGUGUAGCGGUGAAAUGCGUAGAUAUCUGGAGGAAUACCGGUGGCGAAGGCGGCAUCCUGGACCGGCAUUGACGCUAAAGAGCGAAAACUAGGGGAGCAAACGGGAUUAGAUACCCCGGUAGUCCUAGCCCUAAACGAUGAAUGCUUGGUGUGACGGGUAUCGAUCCCUGUCGUGCCGAAGCUAACGCAUUAAGCAUUCCGCCUGGGGAGUACGGUCGCAAGGCUG